GAAAGAAUCAACGGGAAAACUGUAUUCCAGAUGGAAAGGUGUAGGAGAGAUGGCAGAUCUGCCGAAAUGUGCCAAGAUGAUACCAAACAUGAAACAAGCACAAGCAUGAAGUGCAGGCUGCCUUGUGAUCGCACCCACCAGCCACAAGUUUGCUAGAACAGGAUCAUUGUCUCCAGCACGCGGUUCGAACCAUUGCCUUGGCUUGCCCCCAUUCCUUCAUCUUCCAGUCUAUACGUGAAGGUGGUGGAGCGGAGUCCCUCGUGAGCUGAUCAGGUUUUUCUCUCGGGUGCAAGACAAGGGAACAGUAAAAUUCUUACAGUGGGGCACAGUUGUCAGAAGGAUAGAGCUGCAAGCCGUGUCAGUGACAGCUCCCUAUGAUUUGUUGUUGUGGCGCCAUGAUUGCACACCCCAAGAAAUCAAUCAACCAUGGAAGUGAAGAGCCAUGGUGAGUCAGUUUGAACCCAUUUUGCUGUGUGGUUUCAGGAAGCCAGAGCCUCAAUCCCAAAAAUAGUGAUCCUAUAUGAACAAAGCUGUCAAGACUAAAAAUAUUGAUGCUUACAAAGUCUACAAUUAUUUCAUACAAAUAUAUUUAUCCAUCAGAAUAAUGUUCCUCCAGUUGCCAAAUGUAAAUGUUCACUGUGCAAGACCUCACCUGCUUAUUUACUUAACUUUAGAAUAAAAAAGUGGAAAAAAAAAAUGUGCCUCCUGGCAUAUGCUCAUUAGUUAGUGUGUAGUUGUAGAGUUUGCUGGUGUUAUGACCAACACUGAUGGUUAGGAAGUCUGCUGCUCUGACAU
Molecule: long non-coding RNA, 795 nt
Organism: Eriocheir sinensis (Chinese mitten crab)
Lineage: Eukaryota; Metazoa; Arthropoda; Malacostraca; Decapoda; Varunidae
Exons: 3
Source: RefSeq, a predicted model, not a curated record